ACUCCUACGGGAGGCAGCAGUGGGGAAUCUUGGACAAUGGGGGCAACCCUGAUCCAGCCAUGCCGCGUGAGUGAUGAAGGCCUUAGGGUCGUAAAGCUCUUUCGCCUGUGAAGAUAAUGACGGUAGCAGGUAAAGAAACCCCGGCUAACUCCGUGCCAGCAGCCGCGGUAAUACGGAGGGGUUAGCGUUGUUCGGAAUUACUGGGGCGUAAAGCGCACGUAGGCGGAUCGGAAAGUUGGGGGUGAAAUCCCGGGGCUCAACCCCGGAACUGCCUCCAAAACUAUCGGUCUAGAGUUCGAGAGAGGUGAGUGGAAUUCCGAGUGUAGAGGUGAAAUUCGUAGAUAUUCGGAGGAACACCAGUGGCGAAGGCGGCUCACUGGCUCGAUACUGACGCUGAGGUGCGAAAGUGUGGGGAGCAAACAGGAUUAGAUACCCUGGUAGCGACUGA
Molecule: ribosomal RNA, 448 nt
Filed under: uncultured bacterium
Lineage: Bacteria
Description: bacterial SSU rRNA
Rfam family: Bacterial small subunit ribosomal RNA
Source: RNAcentral